RNAcentral lists this ribosomal RNA (445 nucleotides) under uncultured bacterium. RNAcentral's name for it is "partial 16S ribosomal RNA". It matches the Rfam family "Bacterial small subunit ribosomal RNA", at positions 354 to 796 of the family's 1533-position model. The record is from RNAcentral.
GUAGGGAAUAUUGGGCAAUGGAUGCAAGUCUGACCCAGCCAUCCCGCGUGCCGGAAGAAGGCCCUCAGGGUUGUAAACGGCUUUUGACGGUGAAGAAUCGACAGGAUGCGUCCUGUUUUGACGGUAGCCGUUGAAUAAGCACCGGCUAACUACGUGCCAGCAGCCGCGGUAAUACGGAGGGUGCGAGCGUUGUCCGGAUUUAUUGGGUUUAAAGGGUGCGUAGGCUGGAAGGUCAGUCAGCGGUGAAAAGCUAUCGCUUAACGAUAGUCUUGCCGCAGAUACUUCCUUUCUUGGAUGAGGAGGAGGCCACUGGAACGGAUGGUGUAGCGGUGAAAUGCAUAGAUAUCAUCCAGAACACCGAUUGCGAAGGCAGGUGGCUGUACCUUAAUCGACGCUGAUGCACGAAAGCAUGGGGAGCAAACAGGAUUAGAUACCCGGGUAGUCC